GCUGGGCAAAAUGGAGCCGUCGCCCUUAGAAUUCACGGUUCUUGCCUCCUAGAAGUCAGAGCCAGUGAACUCUGAUUUUUAGUCCCCCGGAGACUUGGCCAUUGCCGGGGAGACCUCAAGGUAGGCAUCCGUGUUCCCCCGAGUGUGGCCAGCCACAGUCUGCCCCGCAUCCACAGCCAGGCCUGCCUUCGAGACGGCACCGAAGUGCUGUGGGCAGGACCAGCACGUCCCAGGGCUUGCCAGAUCACCGUCUCUGGGCCCUCUCCAGCUCCAGAUUUAUCCUGAACCCCAUGGAGCCCAGGUGAGUCCUCGGAGCUCUGGGAAGCUUUGGACAGUGCCCAGGCCUGCCCCACUGCGAUCCUCUUUUUUCGGCUUCUGGCAGGCUCCCGUGACACGCAGCCAUUCCAUGGAGAUGUUCAAACCAGACCUUCCUGGGACAGUCGCUGGAGGACAGACCGGCUCUCCCGGAGAGAUGGAAGCCCAGGGGUAUCCAGCCUCCAUCUGUCUGUGAGGCUUCCCAGGGGCCUUGCAUGCUCCAACCAGGCCAUAGGCUUGACUGGACGUAGGCCAGCGGCAGGAGAACCUGCUCUGGCUGGCAUUGCAAGGUGCCAGGCGCACCUGAGCAGCUGGGCAGGUGUGACAGAUGCCCUGGACCUCACGGAGCUGGCUAUGCCUUGUGCACACACCACCGUCCCAUCCCACCUCCCCUCUCCAAACCUCCCUCUGCUUCCCGGCUAGCUCAGGUGUGGUGCAUCUGUGGCCCGUUGGCAGCUUUCUUGCCCGCAGUGCUAGGGAGCUGUCAGGUUAAAAGCUGGCUUGCUCGAUUUGAUCCCACAUGUGAGCUGUUUUAUUUCCCUCUCUCUCCCUUACAUGGCUUUGGUGUGCUUUUAUAAAUAUUUCACUAGCCUUGCUAAAGUCUAUUUCAUCUCUCUCUUAAAUUUAUUAAAUAUAAAUGCAGCAACAACUCCAGCAUAAGUCUCUCUUUGCUGUCAAAAUCUCAGGCUCCCGUGGAAGUAAAUAUAAUUUGCUUUGUUUACUGAGGGUAAUUUGGAGCCCUAUCUUCUGUAUCAGCACCGCCUGUGCCCCCCAAAUUUCCCUGCUUUCAUGACCAGGGGUCUGCCACAACCUCAUGUGGCGCACAGGGACCUGGUGCCCACUCUGAAGAUGGCAUGACACAGAACCAGCAGGGGUUGUUCUCUGAGACUUGCCCAGCCAGAAUCCCUUGGUUCGUUGGUCUCCCGAAGGCACCCCCGAUGGGUAAAGGGGCACCUGUACUCAUCACCCCAGACCCAUGCAGGCCCGGAGGCCUGUCUGAACCGUGCUUUGCCCCUUGCCUCUCUUGGAGAACAGGCCCAUCUGCACAGCUGGUGACCUGGCCAAAAGAGAUGCAGAUGGCUGUGAAAUCAUUGAGGGCAUUGACAUCCCU
Zalophus californianus (California sea lion) is the source of this 1426-nucleotide long non-coding RNA. RefSeq lists it as uncharacterized. NCBI's taxonomy places the organism in Eukaryota, Metazoa, Chordata, Mammalia, Carnivora, Otariidae. The record is from RefSeq and is a predicted model, not a curated record. The transcript is spliced from 3 exons.